GACGAACGCUGGCGGCGUGCCUAACACAUGCAAGUCGAACGGGACUUAGUGGAAAGCGGCUUCGGCCAACGGAAGCUAAGUUUAGUGGCGAACGGGUGAGUAACGCGUGAGAAACCUGCCUUUCAGUGGGGGACAACAGUUGGAAACGACUGCUAAUACCGCAUAAUGUGCCGGGAGGGCAUCCUCCUGGUACCAAAGCUUUAUGUGCUGAAAGAUGGUCUCGCGUCUGAUUAGCUAGAUGGCGGGGUAACGGCCCACCAUGGCGACGAUCAGUAGCCGGUCUGAGAGGAUGAACGGCCACAUUGGGACUGAGAUACGGCCCAG
RNAcentral lists this ribosomal RNA (324 nucleotides) under uncultured bacterium. RNAcentral describes it as "bacterial SSU rRNA". It matches the Rfam family "Bacterial small subunit ribosomal RNA", at positions 28 to 334 of the family's 1533-position model. The record is from RNAcentral.